UGGAAAAUAAAAACUUUUUUUUUUUUAAAAAAAGAACAGGACAGGGUAAAAAUAUUCUGCCAAGUAAUAUGAAAUCAUCCUCCUUCUUUCCUAGUCAAACCAGUUUGGACCCAAGGUUUAUAUUCUGUUUGGAGAUAUGCCCGGAGAUGGAUUCUUUUUCUAAUUCUGCUGGUUCCAAUUGCCUUUUAUUGCUGGAAGCAAAAGAGCACAUCUCAAUCACAGGAACAAUUUCAACUAAUGGAAAAGAAAGAGAAAAAUCAUCUUUCAGUGAUGGAGCCUCAAGCAGCAACACCCUCAUCAGUCAAGUUUCCCCCGGACUCUGAGGCCACCUACAGCAAUGUUCAGGACUUCUCCACUCAGAAGAACCAUCUUAGAGAAGAGGAAGAAGAGGGGCCACUGUAUAUAAACUUGAUUGGAGGAAAAUAAGAUAACUCUCUUGGUGCAGUCUCUUACUAGGCUCAGACAUGCACAUGACCUGUGAAGAAAUGAUGAGGUACUUCAGUUUAUGGCAGAAGAGAAAGUCCAUCCAAAAGGGGGAAAUCUUUGGCCCCACCCUCUUCUACAAGUCUCAGAUCUAUCUAGACUUGAGCCUGCUGGGAAGAUUUUUGUUACUGCUUUCAACAACUUUUUUCUGUA
Crotalus tigris (Tiger rattlesnake) is the source of this 636-nucleotide long non-coding RNA. RefSeq lists it as uncharacterized. NCBI's taxonomy places the organism in Eukaryota, Metazoa, Chordata, Lepidosauria, Squamata, Viperidae. The transcript has 3 exons. The record is from RefSeq and is a predicted model, not a curated record.